Molecule: long non-coding RNA, 1069 nt
Filed under: Heterocephalus glaber (naked mole-rat)
Lineage: Eukaryota; Metazoa; Chordata; Mammalia; Rodentia; Bathyergidae
Description: lncRNA (ENSHGLG00100035914.1)
Source: RNAcentral
CUCCAUCUUCCUGCUGCUUCAGAUCUAUGAAGUCUGUGUUGUGCUCUGAAUGUCUGGGGUCCUCCCUGCUGGAUCUUCCUGAGCUCUCCUUUGCUUCUCGGUUGUUUGUACCCCGCUUCUCUCUGCACCCCUCGCCGCUCUUCCAAGAAGGAAUGUCCUACACUGCCCGGCACUGGCUGCUGCUGUCACCACGAGAAUGAGCUGUGGUCGGUCAGUGUUGAGGGCACCAAGUCAUCCAUUACCCUUCCCACCCGGAGCAGGGGAGCAGGCGAGGUGGACAGAAACUGCAGAACACAGCGAGGCAGCAAGGGCAGCCUCAGACCCAGGGGUGCUCUGCGAGACCCCACCAUGGUGCCCCACAGCUUGCUGGGGACCCAGUGAGAGUCUAAGACUUGGGAUCACCCUGUCCCUGCUCUGAGAAUCCAUGGGAGCUCCUUGCCUUCUCUGCGGUGCCUUCUCACAGCAACUCCAGCCUCCCUGGGAUUUGGGGAGAACUGUUGCACAGCAUGGGGAAUGGUUGGGGCUGAAUCACAUGAACGAUAACAGGAUGGGCUGCUCCUGACAGUCCAUGAAGAAGCAGAGACUUACAAGAAAAGACACUCAAAUGCAUCUCAGCUUCAGGUCAAUAACCCACUGACACUCAGUGGUGAGUAAGGGUUGGGCUCCAGCUCCCCACCAAGGAUGGCACCCACUAACCCUCCUUGGAAGAACACAGAGCCCUCAUUUGGAAGCCCUGGGAACACAGGCACAGGGAGGCAGGGGGGAGCCCCUUCCUCUUAGUGUGGGGGAGACCACAGCGCCCUUCCUGGUCAACUGCGGAGCCAGAUCUCCUCUCACCCGAGAAAGGAGCCAAGUCCUUAACCUGGCUCCCUAACAUCUCAGGACUGGGUGUUCCACACCAACCAGGCUUCCUCUGUGCGAGCAACACAUGCACUCACCGCAGAGCAAAGGCCCCUUCAACACUGACUGGUAUUGUAACAGAGAAAGAAACCUGCUGGGGAGCUGGCUGGGACUGAGUCCCUGCCCGUUACUCCAUCCCCAAGCCUUCCUGUUGGGCUGCCAUUCCUGA